This 162-nucleotide unclassified non-coding RNA is filed under the name uncultured Tolypocladium. Its description in RNAcentral is "sequence contains ITS1". Lineage: Eukaryota; Fungi; Ascomycota; Sordariomycetes; Hypocreales; Clavicipitaceae. The record is from RNAcentral.
CCGAGUUAUCAACUCCCAAACCCCUGUGAACAUACCCCAACGUUGCUUCGGCGGGACCGCCCCGGCGCCCUCACCGGCCCGGAACCAGGCGCCCGCCGGAGGACCCCAAACUCUUGUUUAAUUUAGUGGCAUAUUCUGAGUCUCACAAACAAAAAUGAAUCA